CCCUACUUCCUUCUUCUGUCUUGCUGAGCACAUUCUGACUUUCACAAAUCUGUGGGCUCAAAGGGAAGCACACCUAUUAGUAUUCACUGCUGAGUCAUUUCCAGAGCUGGCAAACUGAGCCUUUCCAGCUCUGGAAGAUUAUAAACAUAAACACUCUUUUCCACAGGAGAGACUGCCAAAACACAGAGCUGAUUUGCCCACGAAUUUAAGCAUGGCAGUGGUAAAUAUAUAUAUGUGUAUAAAGUCAAUAACAAUGGCAGCUUAUUAUUUAAUUUUAUUAACAGACAAAAAUUGAGAGUUAAGAGCUAUACUUUUGCUAUCUAGGUGACAUGAGCUUAAGCAUUUACCCCAUCGCCCAGCACAAGAGAUCAUGUUUCAAAAAUGAAAAACUUUCAGGAAGGCCUCUUUCCAUUUGUAUUUAAAAACCAAAUGUUUCCAACAGAGAAUUAUCUCCCUUAGAAAGAGAAACCACUUUAGUCAAUAAAAAUAUUAACCCUAAACAUCUGCUAAGAGUCUCACAUGCAUUAUUGCACAUAUUGUUCACAUUAAAUCUAUGAACCAUAAUACUGUUAUAAACUUAUAUCUAUUUUGAAGUGAUUUAACCAGCCCGAGGUCACAGGGCUAGUUAAUGGUGGAGCCAGGAAUCAUGCUAUGUUUGCCUGACCCUGGAACCAGCGAGGGCCCCUAAGCACUGUACUUGAAGGCCUCAGGUGACAGCAAAGCCAGUCCCAGUGACCGUUCAAUCUAAAUAUAUAAUUAAAUCAAAACCAAAGAUGAAAACUGAAAAACAAAUAUACCCAGAUUUGUACAGCUUUGUAUUUGUAUAGCUCUUUGUUAGUUACAAAUGGUCCCUUUAUAAGUUGUCUCAGUCCAUCCUAUGUAGGAGUGGGUGAGACUUUAUAUCACUUUAUAGAUGAAGGAGGAGAGGUUAUACGACUUCACUGAAUGCCCCCAGGUAAUAACGAAUAGAGCCUGGACUCCACCUUCUGACUGUAGAUCCUUGUUCUGUCCCCUGCUCUCCUUGACUUUCUAGGAGAAAACCUCCUCUUCUAUACUUAGAGACUUGUUACCCAUUGACAGAGUAUCUUCUAAGUGUCAAUUACUCUGGUAGCUGUUGUGAGCACAGGGGUCUUAGAUAAACACAGACACUAUCCCUCCUCUCUGGAGGUCAGAGACACAGAUAAAAAACAAAUAAAUACAUACGACGUUAGUGCCCUGGUGGUGUUCGUGCCACAGACGAAAUUAAAAUAUGUGCAGUAGAUAGGGAGAGUCAGGCUGGGGAGAGGGUUGAGGUUUUAACUUGGGUGGUGUGAGGAGAUUGCUCUGCUAAAGAGAUACUUGAAUACCUGGAAGAAGUGAGAAGUUCCAGCCGUGCGCUUAUCAGGAGUGACUGCACGUGCCAAGGCCCUGAGGUGAUAGGAGGAUUCUUGACGUGUAUGAGGAAUAAGAAGGAGGCCAUGGGAGCUGCAUCAACCAGGCAGCGGAUGAGUCUACAACUCUGAGGGUUGUGUCUUCCACCGUGGAGGGCAAGGACCGGCAAGUUCAGCAAAUCCGAGGCUUUGGUGCUGACAGACAGGCACGUGGAGGGAACCGCCCUCGGCAGGUAGAGAAGGGGCCCUGAAGGAGCGGGAACUCAAAAGUGAUUCAGGCACAGAUUAUGUUCAGCCUCUCCUUAAAGGAGUGAACUGUGUAUCGUAAAUGUGAUGAGCAUUCCCUGAGGACGGUGAAGCCCGACUGGAUGAGCACCAGUUACAAGCAUUUGAGGAAAAGCCCUCAGCAGGAAAUGGCCGUCUCUCUCCACAGACUGAAACCUUCCUGGCAGAGACCACGCGUUUUUAUCCUAUUUCCCAGAAGAGCUCGGCUGCUCUGGGUCCGCGUAUAUGAAUUAUCUAGAGUGAAGUCAGAUGGGGCAAAGUCAUGCGAGUCUUUUUAAUUAAUAGGAUUCCUAAGUUCUCAUUGGAAGGCAGCCCUAUGCAUCCCAUUUUUUCCCUAUUUGACAUUUAUGUAGCCCUCUUUACCAUGUAAAAUAUCUUAUCCCUUUGUAUUGUCACAGCAAAACUGUGAAGUAGGGGAGUACGAGCGAUAUCGUCUUUCUCUCUUUCCCUCCCUCCCUUGAGGAAAUGGAAAGUGAAAUGGUAUUUGAUAUGAUGGGAAGUGCUGGAACUCCAGAGACCUCAGUGGCUUCCUCUGUGUGGCCUGGUCAGACCCCGCCAGAAGGGGACACGGUGGCAGGUCAGGCUGUGACAGUGUGGGGCGGGACAACGGGGGCCCUUCCGGAAUCUGCAGGCCCUCUGUGCGGCCCUGUUGGCUCCCAGGCCACGUGGGUGGUGGACGGAGCAUCUGGAGACCAGGGUCCAGGACCCGAAGAACACAGAGCAUCUGAACAAACUUGGGGAAAUCACGCUCCCGCUUCAGCCUGCCCUUCUCUCAUCGGUAAAGGGGGGAGUAACGUUACAUUUAUUUAAGUAACAUUUCUAUAGGUCUUAUUUCCGGCCAGUUGUGGUUAUAAGCACUCUACAGACAUUAACUUGGUUAAUUCUGCAGGCGACCCCCUGAGGUAGGUCAUACUAUUAUCGGCAUUUUGCUGGUGGGGAAGGGAAGCCGCGGGAGGGUGAAGCAGCUUGCUCAGGGCCGCAAGCUAGUGCCUGGUAGGGCCGGAAUUCAAAUCCGAGCAGGCUGGCUCCAUCUUCUGGCUUUAAGCUCUCGCUCUGCCGCCUCCAGUGCAAGAUCUCUACGUUCCCUCUUAGCCCUCCCAUCUGGCGAGGGUAAUUUUAUGAGCUGAGAUUUCAGCCCAUACGGGGAACUCUUGCUCUAAUCCAUUACACCAAACUGCACGCUCUGAUCUGAUCACCCGGCCUUCCCUUGAGGCAGUGUUGGCGUCGGAAAUGUCCACUGUGUGAGUUGGCCGGGAUGCUGACUUACACAGAAGUGAGAACUCAGGGCCUCUGUGUACACUGAUAUCACCAGUGAUUUCUACUUUUAAGCUAGGAGACUGUAGGUGCUGAUGUAGGUGAGGUGCCUGGCCCUGGGACCCCCUCUCCUUUCUCAUGAGCUCCCCUGCUCCCCUGUUGGUUCCACUCACCUCUGCUGGGAUGACCCCAAACUGUGUCGUUAGCGCUCACUCCCCACAAGGUUAAGUUAGAUUAAGGAGGAACCACAAGCACACCUCCUCUCCUGCUGCCCGCUGGCCCUCUCUCCUCCCCCGAAAGCUGGAACACGCUCACAGCGCCCCACAAAGAAGUAGAGCCCCCUGCACAUAAGUCUGCAACCCACACUGAGGCCGGACCUGCCGGGGGUUCUUUUCCAGCCCCUACUUCAAUUCAUCUCUCGAGGGGCCCACGGGAAGCUCCACCCCUCCUCUGGGGACCUCUGAAGACAGUUCUUGGGGGUCUAAGGUUCCUUUUUCUCUUUUUGCAGACAAAAGUACAUCUUAUUCCUGAACCGUAGCUGCAGACUUGAAUUUCCUUUGUACUGCUGGCCUCUUUCACCCGCAGCUCUGACACAGCUGAACCUCAGCCUCACCUCCUGUCAGGUCGACUCAGGUCCAUGUGGUCAACGGCCCCUCCGUCCUUGAGCCUUUCCAGGAAACCUUUCCAAAUCAAUCAGAAGUCAGAAGUGUGCGCUGGCAUCCCCAAAAUGUGAGCUCCAGAACCAUCAUUCAUUUCUUGCCUGGUUUGGGACAUCACUUCUGGUCUGGACCGGCCACUUUCCUGUUCUGGAAAUCCAGCCUAUUGGACUUCAUGGUUCUGAAGUCCAUUCAACCCGGUUGGAAGCCCUUUGGCUCUAAGCAUCAGAGGAAAUGAAGAAGGGACGUGAAGCUGUUACCAGGAUGGACUGCAUGAAAUCUCAUUAACUGAGAACACAAGGGACCAGACAAAACAGAUUUUGAAUUAAUUAGUUUGCAGUAUGUGAAAGCAUUGCUGAGAAAUAUAGGACAUUUUAUUGGCUAAGAAAUUCCCAUUCAUUAUAUUACUCGAUGCAAUGUUAAGUCAAAUGAUAAAUGGGAAUGAUGUUUCUUUAUUUUUGGGCAAAUGAUAGGUGGUUUGGGAAAUACUGUAUUCGGUUCUCAGCUAUCUGGAUGAAAUUUAUCAGAUUCUUGCUUAUUGUCAUAAUUUUAGGUUGUAUCCUGUCAGCUCUCAAGUUCUGUUCUUUAAUAAAUUUUUUCCUUUCCAUGUGAAUCCCGAGUGAUCUAAUGGAUAACCAGA
Molecule: long non-coding RNA, 4205 nt
Organism: Aethalodelphis obliquidens (Pacific white-sided dolphin)
Lineage: Eukaryota; Metazoa; Chordata; Mammalia; Artiodactyla; Delphinidae
Exons: 3
Source: RefSeq, a predicted model, not a curated record